Schistosoma curassoni is the source of this 45-nucleotide non-coding RNA. The record is from Rfam. Lineage: Eukaryota; Metazoa; Platyhelminthes; Trematoda; Strigeidida; Schistosomatidae.
AUCCAGCUGACGAACCUCAAAUAGGACGAAACAUGCGUCCUAGAU